AACGAACGCUGGCGGCAGGCCUAACACAUGCAAGUCGAGCGCUCACUUCGGUGGGAGCGGCGGACGGGUGAGUAACGCGUGGGAAGAUACCCAAAGGUACGGAACAACCACUGGAAACGGUGGCUAAUACCGUAUGUGCCCUAAGGGGGAAAGAUUUAUUGCCUUUGGAUUUGCCCGCGUAUGAUUAGAUAGUUGGUGGGGUAAUGGCCUACCAAGUCGACGAUCAUUAGCUGGUCUGAGAGGAUGAUCAGCCACACUGGGACUGAGACACGGCCCAGACUCCUACGGGAGGCAGCAGUAGGGAAUAUUGGACAAUGGGGAAACCCUGAUCCAGCCAUGCCGCGUGAGUGAAGAAGGCCCUAGGGUUGUAAAGCUCUUUCAUUGGUGAAGAUAAUGACGGUAGCCAAAUAAGAAGCCCCGGCUAACUCCGUGCCAGCAGCCGCGGUAAU
This 449-nucleotide ribosomal RNA is filed under the name uncultured bacterium. Its description in RNAcentral is "bacterial SSU rRNA". It matches the Rfam family "Bacterial small subunit ribosomal RNA", at positions 29 to 524 of the family's 1533-position model. The record is from RNAcentral.